CCCGUCAGGAUGAACGCUAGCGGCAGGCCUAAUACAUGCAAGUCGGACGGGAUCCGGGAGUAGCUCGCUACUUCCGGUGAGAGUGGCGCACGGGUGCGUAACGCGUGAGCAACCUGCCCAUAUCAGGGGGAUAGCCCGGAGAAAUCCGGAUUAACACCGCAUGACACGCCGGGACGGCAUCGUUCCGGCGUCAAAUAUUCAUAGGAUAUGGAUGGGCUCGCGUGACAUUAGCUAGUUGGUGGGGUAACGGCCCACCAAGGCGACGAUGUCUAGGGGCUCUGAGAGGAGAAUCCCCCACACUGGUACUGAGACACGGACCAGACUCCUACGGGAGGCAGCAGUAAGGAAUAUUGGUCAAUGGGGGCAACCCUGAACCAGCCAUGCCGCGUGCAGGACGACUGCCCUAUGGGUUGUAAACUGCUUUUGCCGGGGAAUAAACCCCACUACGUGUAGUGGGCUGAACGUACCCGGAGAAUAAGGAUCGGCUAACUCCGUGCCAGCAGCCGCGGUAAUACGGAGGAUCCGAGCGUUAUCCGGAUUUAUUGGGUUUAAAGGGUGCGUAGGCGGCACUUUAAGUCAGGGGUGAAAGACGGCAGCUCAACUGUCGCAGUGCCCUUGAUACUGAAGUGCUUGAAUGCGGUUGAAGACGGCGGAAUGAGACAAGUAGCGGUGAAAUGCAUAGAUAUGUCUCAGAACACCGAUUGCGAAGGCAGCUGUCUAAGCCGUUAUGACGCUAUGCCAAUG
Molecule: ribosomal RNA, 744 nt
Filed under: Sphingobacterium daejeonense
Lineage: Bacteria; Pseudomonadati; Bacteroidota; Sphingobacteriia; Sphingobacteriales; Sphingobacteriaceae
Description: bacterial SSU rRNA
Rfam family: Bacterial small subunit ribosomal RNA
Source: RNAcentral